AGCCUCGUAGCUCAGUUGGCUAGAGCGUUGGCUGUACUAAAGCCUUCCUCUUGCUGGCGUGGGUUCGUAUCCCAACGAGGCCG
RNAcentral lists this transfer RNA (83 nucleotides) under Schistocephalus solidus. It matches the Rfam family "tRNA". Rfam says of the family: Transfer RNA (tRNA) molecules are approximately 80 nucleotides in length. Their secondary structure includes four short double-helical elements and three loops (D, anti-codon, and T loops). Further hydrogen bonds mediate the characteristic L-shaped molecular structure. tRNAs have two regions of fundamental functional importance: the anti-codon, which is responsible for specific mRNA codon recognition, and the 3' end, to which the tRNAs corresponding amino acid is attached (by aminoacyl-tRNA synthetases). tRNAs cope with the degeneracy of the genetic code in two manners: having more than one tRNA (with a specific anti-codon) for a particular amino acid; and 'wobble' base-pairing, i.e. permitting non-standard base-pairing at the 3rd anti-codon position. The record is from Rfam by way of RNAcentral. Lineage: Eukaryota; Metazoa; Platyhelminthes; Cestoda; Diphyllobothriidea; Diphyllobothriidae.